Numida meleagris (helmeted guineafowl) is the source of this 972-nucleotide long non-coding RNA. RefSeq lists it as uncharacterized. The record is from RefSeq and is a predicted model, not a curated record. Lineage: Eukaryota; Metazoa; Chordata; Aves; Galliformes; Numididae. The transcript has 3 exons.
GGGUUGGGAUAACUGGGAGCCGGAGUUUGCUCGGGACGGCACCGGGAGGCGACGCGAAGUCCCGUGCGGGGCUGUGGGGGUGGUCCCCCUGCACCCACGGGGGGAGCCCCGCCGGGAGCUGCCGGCAGUAGCGGGGAACUUGUAACGCAGUGAAAUCGCCGAGCCCGGCUCUCCUGGGCUGACUUAGUGCCUCGCAUUCCUCCAUGAGUGGAGUGUGUAAUUAGUUUUAUUAAUUUAUUUUCUUUCCGACUCCAAGAGUCUCUUUUUCAAUAUAGAAGAUGAUGAUUCUUUCCCCCUGGAACGGCAUUAUCGGGACUGGUGGGAGUGUUUCUCUUUCUGCGUUUCGGAGAGAACAACACAAUAUUCUGCUUUUUCAUUAAUACCCAGUUAGUCUGCUAGCACCACACUUCCUCCCUCCCUGCGCUGCUUGCUGGUGUUGAUACAGAUGCUGCUGGACAAAAGAAGGCCCUGCUCCAUAUGGCUCUGUAAAAUUGCUUCACUACUGAAGGAUGGGCAUGUGUAAAGGUCCUCAUUACUGCCUGCUGGUCCAUGGACAUUGAUGAUGCUUCUGGUUACUAAAUAGUUGCCUCACUGAGUUGGAGGUCCAUAAACUCCUUCUAGCAACAUCAGAGAUGUCAGAGACAAAGCUGGAGGAACAAAGAUACUGAGACACCAUAGAUGUGUCUCCAGUGAUGCCUUCAAGCCUACAGAAGUCCCUGGCUAAAUUGCUCUUUAUCUUUAUUGCUCUAUAUACUUCUUUAUCUGCUUGUCAAGACAUUGUAUUUUUCCCUGAUAAAGUGAAGAACAACAGGCAUUGAGCAAAAUCAAAGUGGUUGAUGAUAAUCUCAGUUAACUUCCUGGAGACUCCAGUCACUGGUCACAGUCAAGUUGAGCAAUGGUGAGGGAGGUGUGGACACUUUGAACUAAGACAAGGUGACAUUAAAAAGCUGUAAUAAAGUUCUUGUGAAGUUA